RNAcentral lists this ribosomal RNA (253 nucleotides) under uncultured bacterium. RNAcentral's name for it is "partial 16S ribosomal RNA". It matches the Rfam family "Bacterial small subunit ribosomal RNA", at positions 524 to 776 of the family's 1533-position model. The record is from RNAcentral.
UACGGAGGGUGCAAGCGUUAUCCGGAUUUAUUGGGUUUAAAGGGUGCGUAGGCGGAUUUGUAAGUCCGAGGUGAAAUCUCCGAGCUUAACUCGGAAACUGCCUUGGAUACUAUAAGUCUUGAAUGAAGAUGAGGUUAGCGGAAUAUGUCAUGUAGCGGUGAAAUGCUUAGAUAUGACAUAGAACAUCUAUUUCGAAGGCAGCUAACUAAGCGUAUAUUGACGCUGAUGCACGAAAGCGUGGGGAUCAAACAGG